This is a long non-coding RNA of Homo sapiens (human), 514 nucleotides long. Ensembl annotates it as ribosomal protein L23a pseudogene 7. Its record names the gene RPL23AP7. The record is from Ensembl. Lineage: Eukaryota; Metazoa; Chordata; Mammalia; Primates; Hominidae.
GCAGGGAGUGCGCAUGCGGCCGAGUGCGGGACUGGGGCUCCUGGCUGUGGGUGUGGUACCGAGGCUUCAGCGGGUGCCGCCCGCCUAGAGGGAGUGGAGCGAGAGCCUACGACUAGAUUUGCAUCUUUACGUCCUGCGCGGAGGCUGCUACACACAUGCAGAAGUCAUGCUGGUGGCCUGGACAGUGAAGGGAGAGAAGUGGAUUUGGGAGACAUUUAGGAGAAGAAUCCCAGACUUCUUAGAGAACCCAGUGACUUUUUGCACCUUAAAUCUGUGAAAUCCUCAUGUUUUCUUCUGCCGUAUCCAUAGUUCAAACAAAGAUGAGGCAAAGCUAGAUGCAUUCCUGAAGGAACCCAAGAAAUUCCUCUCUUUAUUUCUCUGGAAUGAAAUGAAUUCUCUAGACCACCAGUUCUAACCUUCAAAAACCAAACCUGUUUGUGAGAUCUCCUUCAAAUACUACUGUAGACCCCAGUGUUUAUUCAUUAAAUUUUUAAAAUAUUUGUUUUAUUUGGAA